AUGGACGGCGUUGAAGACAAGUUGAAGCGCAUGAAUCUCUCGGAGGCUGAGAGGAGGGGUGUGAAAAUCGGCUGGAGGAGAGCGGCGGAGCAGAAGGGGAGUGUGGCUAAAGCAAUGGGGAAGUUGUUCUCUAAUAAACCGGGACAUGUAGGAGGUAUGGAGCUGGCGCUAGGCAAGAUUUGGUGCCCGAUGAAGAGGCUGGAGGUGAAGGAGAUGGGAGAGAACCGAUUCUUGUUCCUUUUUCAUCAGGAGGCGGGGAAGAGAAAAGCACUGGAUAAUGGCCCAUGGACCUUUGGCAAGGAGCUGCUCGUGAUGGAAGACUUCGAUCCUCGCAAAACACUAGAGGAUUACACUUUCGACACGGUGCCGAUCUGGGCGAGAAUCUACAAUGUUCCGCUGGGAAUGAUGUGUCGGGAGGUGGGGGAAGACUUGGGGGAAGAAAUUGGUAAAUUGAUGGAGGUUGAUGCUGGCGAGGAUGGGACGGCAUUGGGUAAAUGCUUGAGGGUAAAAGUGAAGAUCAAAGUCACUGAACCUCUCAUGAGGGGACUGUACCUAGACGUGGAACCGGAAGAGGGGGAAACAGGGAGUGACAUGGAGGUAGGCAUGACCGAUGGAGAGAGAUCGAAAAAGGAUAAGGAAGGGAGGAUCUGGUGCCAUUUUGAGUACGAAUAUUUGCCUGAUUUCUGCUAUACUUGUGGGAGGCUUGGUCAUGUGGACAGAGAGUGCAGCAUCAGGCUGAGAAAGGGCCAGAAAGCUGAGUUUGGAAGAUGGCUGAAGUAUGUGCCGGAAAGAGCUCAUGUCAAUGAGGCAGGAAGAACAAACUGGAGAGAAAACAGUGGUGGCAGUUCAGGCAGGAGGUAUGGGUGGCUGAAUAGCGAGGGGAGGUCUAGGAGUGAUGUGGAGUCCUGGAAGAAAUCGAGUGGAAGUGGGGGAGACAAGGAAAAGAAGAGCACGAUCAAAACUUAA
This 966-nucleotide ribosomal RNA is filed under the name Triticum aestivum (bread wheat). Its description in RNAcentral is "partial small subunit ribosomal RNA". Lineage: Eukaryota; Viridiplantae; Streptophyta; Magnoliopsida; Poales; Poaceae. The record is from RNAcentral.